RNAcentral lists this ribosomal RNA (1223 nucleotides) under Pseudomonas aeruginosa. Its description in RNAcentral is "bacterial LSU rRNA". It matches the Rfam family "Bacterial large subunit ribosomal RNA", at positions 1722 to 2925 of the family's 2925-position model. Lineage: Bacteria; Pseudomonadati; Pseudomonadota; Gammaproteobacteria; Pseudomonadales; Pseudomonadaceae. The record is from RNAcentral.
AUGGCACCGUAACUUCGGGAGAAGGUGCGCCGGCUAGGGUGAAGGAUUUACUCCGUAAGCUCUGGCUGGUCGAAGAUACCAGGCCGCUGCGACUGUUUAUUAAAAACACAGCACUCUGCAAACACGAAAGUGGACGUAUAGGGUGUGACGCCUGCCCGGUGCCGGAAGGUUAAUUGAUGGGGUUAGCGCAAGCGAAGCUCUUGAUCGAAGCCCCGGUAAACGGCGGCCGUAACUAUAACGGUCCUAAGGUAGCGAAAUUCCUUGUCGGGUAAGUUCCGACCUGCACGAAUGGCGUAACGAUGGCGGCGCUGUCUCCACCCGAGACUCAGUGAAAUUGAAAUCGCUGUGAAGAUGCAGUGUAUCCGCGGCUAGACGGAAAGACCCCGUGAACCUUUACUGUAGCUUUGCACUGGACUUUGAGCCUGCUUGUGUAGGAUAGGUGGGAGGCUUUGAAGCGUGGACGCCAGUUCGCGUGGAGCCAUCCUUGAAAUACCACCCUGGCAUGCUUGAGGUUCUAACUCUGGUCCGUGAUCCGGAUCGAGGACAGUGUAUGGUGGGCAGUUUGACUGGGGCGGUCUCCUCCUAAAGAGUAACGGAGGAGUACGAAGGUGCGCUCAGACCGGUCGGAAAUCGGUCGUAGAGUAUAAAGGCAAAAGCGCGCUUGACUGCGAGACAGACACGUCGAGCAGGUACGAAAGUAGGUCUUAGUGAUCCGGUGGUUCUGUAUGGAAGGGCCAUCGCUCAACGGAUAAAAGGUACUCCGGGGAUAACAGGCUGAUACCGCCCAAGAGUUCAUAUCGACGGCGGUGUUUGGCACCUCGAUGUCGGCUCAUCACAUCCUGGGGCUGAAGCCGGUCCCAAGGGUAUGGCUGUUCGCCAUUUAAAGUGGUACGCGAGCUGGGUUUAGAACGUCGUGAGACAGUUCGGUCCCUAUCUGCCGUGGACGUUUGAGAUUUGAGAGGGGCUGCUCCUAGUACGAGAGGACCGGAGUGGACGAACCUCUGGUGUUCCGGUUGUCACGCCAGUGGCAUUGCCGGGUAGCUAUGUUCGGAAAAGAUAACCGCUGAAAGCAUCUAAGCGGGAAACUUGCCUCAAGAUGAGAUCUCACUGGGAACUUGAUUCCCCUGAAGGGCCGUCGAAGACUACGACGUUGAUAGGCUGGGUGUGUAAGCGUUGUGAGGCGUUGAGCUAACCAGUACUAAUUGCCCGUGAGGCUUGACCAU